GCCCGAGCCCGAGCCCGAGCCCGAGCCCGAGCCCGCGCCCGCGCCCGCGCCCGCGCCCGCUGGGCCCCGUGCAGCAGGCAGCGGGAUGGAGCUGGAGCGUCGGCAGGGCUCAGAUGGACAAGAGCCAAGGAGCAGCUGAGUCUGUGCAAAGACAAGAGGUCAACUAGCGGUGACGAGGAAGAGUCAUCAAUCUUCAUCCCCACGACCCCCGACGACCACCACCAGAAUACACUGCGCAAGCGCAGAUGGGAGGAGUUUAUGGAAAUGACUCCUUGGAACUAACUUUAAUACGAAGUGGGGACAGGUUAUGACUAUGUAUAGGCGUGUUGUGAAACUUCAUGCAUAUGUAACUCUUUACUGCAUAUAACUAAAGCAAGUUGCUGCAUCAGGCGCGCAUGCUUUUGGUGGGACUACCCCCCGUGCUGCCCAGCGCUGAAUAAACAUACCUACUUUACAAUCUUA
Long non-coding RNA from Cygnus atratus (black swan), 462 nucleotides. RefSeq lists it as uncharacterized. The record is from RefSeq and is a predicted model, not a curated record. NCBI's taxonomy places the organism in Eukaryota, Metazoa, Chordata, Aves, Anseriformes, Anatidae. The transcript is spliced from 2 exons.